ACGAAGGGGGCUAGCGUUGCUCGGAAUUACUGGGCGUAAAGGGAGCGUAGGCGGACAUUUAAGUCAGAGGUGAAAUCCCGGAGCUUAACUUCGGAACUGCCUUUGAUACUGGGUGUCUUGAGUGUGAGAGAGGUAUGUGGAACUCCGAGUGUAGAGGUGAAAUUCGUAGAUAUUCGGAAGAACACCAGUGGCGAAGGCGACAUACUGGCUCAUUACUGACGCUGAGGCUCGAAAGCGUGGGGAGCAAACAGG
RNAcentral lists this ribosomal RNA (252 nucleotides) under uncultured bacterium. RNAcentral describes it as "partial 16S ribosomal RNA". It matches the Rfam family "Bacterial small subunit ribosomal RNA", at positions 525 to 776 of the family's 1533-position model. The record is from RNAcentral.